CACACACACACACACACGGGUCCUGAACUAUUUUUCAUCAAUUGCUUAACUCCUACAAAAUGCAAUUUCCUUACUUGUAAAAUGGAGGUACUAAAAGAGUACCUGACAGGCUCCUGAGUAAAGAACACUCUGAGCUAGGUUCAAUGGAUGUGACCUACUGUAUAUGAUAGUCUGUAUAUACUGUAUAUAUAUAAUAAAAAGAUACGUACUGUAUAUGAUAUAAUAAAAAGUAGCUAAUAAAUGGAACUAGCCUAAAUGUCUAUUAGAGUAGAUAAAUGGACAAAGAAAAUGUGGCAUGUAUCCCUUAGUAGAUGGAUUAUAAACAACAAAAUUUUUGUCAUAUUUGCAGAAUAAUUAUAUUUGCAGAAUAUAAUUGGAUACAACUGAAGAUUAUUAUGUUAAAAUAAGCCAGACUUGGAAAGACAAAGACUGAAUGUUUUCCUUCAUAUGUGGCUCCUAGAUUUUAAUUUGUAUAUGUAUAUAUACAUGCCUGUGUGGGUGUAGGUAUAGGUAUGAAACUAGAAAAGUGAACCAUGAGAGGUGAAGAAGGGGUCUUUAGAGAAGGGGGGUACUAGAAUAUAUCUGAUAUUAAUUAAAUACAGGGGGUUACUGUAUAGAGAAGGAAGGCUAAAAGGGGGCCAGGGGGAUGAGAGGUGGGAGGAAGGAGGAUCAAUAAGAACAAAGUAUUUAUGGAAAUGCCAGAAGAGAAUCCAUUAUUCUGUAUGCAAAUGUAAGAAAACAAUGCAAAAGUAUGAAACAAGCAGUGAGGACAGAUGACCUGCUAAAGAUGCCAACAAAACUCCAGUUCACUGGAGCAUGACAGGCAGAAUGUGGCUCCACAGAUGUCUGUGUCUGAGAGCCUGUUACUGGGCCACCUUCAGAUGAAGCAUGCAUCAGAAUUACCCUGGAUUAUGUGACUGGGCCCAGCGGAAUGUGAAGAGUUAAUAGAGUCUGAGGAGGAGGCAAAACAAGGGGGUCAGAGAGAGGAGACUUGAAAAAGACCUGUGUUGCUGCUUCUGAAGACGAAGGAAGGGGACUGCCAAGGAAGUCUCCAGAAACUGGGUCAGCCUCAGUUGCCAGGCAGCAAAACAGACCCAGGUUUACAACAGCAAGGAACUAAAUUCUGUCAACAACCUAAGGGAACAGGAAUUCUGCUCUAGGGCCUCUGGAGAGGAAUAUAGUCCUGCUGACACCUUGAUUUAGUACUGGACUUCUGACUUACUGUGCAAAGAUAAUAAAUCUGCAUUGUGUUCAGCUGGAGUAUAUUUAUUGUUUUCAGAGACAACAAGAGACAAGAUUGUGCUGGAAACUUCAAAAUUUGUUACGAGCACAGAGUGUUAUUUAGCAGUAGAACACUUAGCUGGCCUGUAUGCAGGAGCAUGGCAAAACAGUACGUAUCUGUUUAGAGGGUAGGUCAUUUACUGUUCCUACCUUAGAAAAUUAAAGAGAAAGGAAGGAUAGUGUAAGAGAUUUGCCAUAAAGCUAAAGUUCUUCUGAAUAUAUGCCAUUGCUCUUAUUUAAGACUAUUAGAAAUAAAGGAAGUAGGUAAUGAUAUUUUUUUAAAUAAGAUUGAAGAGCAGACCUUCAGAACUUAUUCAUCUUGUUUGAAACUUUCUACCCAUCAAUUAGCAACCUCCCAUUUCUCCCUCCUCCAGCCCCUAGCACCUACCAUCAGUCAACCUUUGCUUCUACGAGCUUACUAACUCCAUAUACCUCACACAAGUGGAACCACAUGGUAUAGGACCGUCUAUGACUAGCUUAUUUCAAAGGCAAAAUUUUUUAUAUAUAACAUAAUUCUUUAUUGACUCUCUGGGAAUUUCACAUCAUUCACCCAAAUCCCGCUCACCUCCCAGUCUCUCCCUAUCCACCCUUCACCUCUGCAUCGUCCCCCGAAAAGAAACCACCCCCAAAAAAUUAAAAACAAAAACAAAGCCACCUCGCUCUCCCAUCUUUCCUGCCUCUCCAACACUUCUUCAUUCAUCCUAGUGACACUGGAAGCUUUAGUGUGUCACACAAUACACCCUUUUGUCCAAUCAGCUCCACCCACAAAUGUUCACUGCGAUGAGUCAUUGGUCUGGUUCAAGGCCUCUGGCACUCCAUCAUCAACCAGACCCUCGCUGAAACUCCUCUUGUAUAUUCAAAGGCAAAUCUUUGAUGAUCACAAGCAGACCGAUCUCUGGUCUACAGACAUGAGUUCCAGGAUAGCCAGAGCUGUUACACAGAAAAACCCUGUCUCAAAAAACCAAAGAAAAGAGCCUUUGUCCAGUGACUGAUGGAGGCAGAUACAGAGAUCCACGGCCAAGCACCAGGCUGAGCUCCGGGAAUCCAACUGAUGAGAGAGAGGAGAGAUACUGCAGGUGAGGGACGUCGAGAUCACGAUGGGAGGACGUGCAGAGAUGACGGACCACACUAGUGGAAGCCCAUGACCUGUGGACUGGUGGCUGUGGAGCCCCCCAUGGGACUGGACUAGGACCUCUGCAUACGGAAGACGGUUUUUUGGCUCAAAUUGUUUGGGGGACACCCAGGCAGGGAGAUCUGUCCCUGGUCUAUGGGCAGGCUUCUGGAAUCCAGUGCUGUGGUGUGACACCUUGCACAGCCUUGGUGCAGUGGGAAGGGGCUUGGACCUGCCUAGGCUCAGUGUGCUGGGCUUUGCUGACUCCCCAUGGGAAACCUCAAUUUGGGAGAUGUGGGGAUGUGGGGUGGCUUGGGAAAGAGGGCUGGGGGGGUGGGAGGAGGGAGGAGGGGGGGUCUGUGGAUAGCAUGUGGAGUGAGUAGAAAAUUUCCUAAUAAAGAAAAAUGAAAAAAAAAGAGUGGUCUCUGUAACAUGUUGAUUUCUGCAUGUCAUAUUCCUCAGUUUCACCUACUACUCUUAAAAUAUAUGAUAUGCUAAGAGUCUUAGGAUCCUUGUUAGAUAUGUUGAGCAUUUACCACAUAGGAUACUGCUAUUUUCAGUGUUUCACAUUUCUAAAAGGAAAAGAACAUUUUCCAUCAAUAUGAGGGUAUUGUAUUUUCUUUUUUGUGGUUUGGGUAUGGAACCUUACAAAUGCUGGGCAAGUGCUCUACCACUGGGCUACUACUUCCCCUGCCCCAAUCUAUUGGAUUUGUAUAUUAUUUUUAGCUAUAUACUACUGAACAGAACAGAAUUUAAGUGGCUAAGUGGUCCAUCCAAGUUUGAGGUUUCUAAAAAAGAAAACUGAAACUGUAAACAACAUGAUAAAAGAUCGGAAAAAUCUCUUUCAAAGUUGGUGCUCUUCUGGCAUGGUUUUCUUGUAGAAAAAUAUGCAUGACAUGAUUUUUAAAAGAAAGUCAAAAUUAACACAAAAUUUACCAUCUUAACUGUUUUAGGAGUAUACUUCAGUGGUAGUAAGAAUAUCCUUAUUACUCAACCGUCACCACUACCCACUUCCAGAUCUUUUUCAUUACGUCCUACUACCUUGGUGGUGGAUACAGAAGAUGUUUUGCAACAAAUGGGAGGCACAGAAGGCAAAAGAGUGCCUCUCUCUGAGGACAACCACAGCUGCCUCACAACCAGCAGCCAGGCCCUGCCUACCAUUUACUUCUGAAACUGGAGGAGACUAGAAUGACGUUUAGUUUUUUUGUUUUUGUUGUUUUUUUUUUUCUUUUCUCUAGGCAAAGCAGACAUUAUUAAUUCUUCCUGAGCUGGAGCAAGAGCAGGGACAGAACAUUAACUUUCUGCUUCCAGGACUGUUACAAACAAUCUCAUAAUCAAAACCAUCAAUUUCACUGCUGUGGCCACUAGAUUCCCACCUACAACUGCAGCCCAGUCUGGGAAUUGGGACUUCUAUCAUGAGGCAUUCAAGGGACCCAGUGUUGAGUUGGCCUGAUUCUGAGGACUGCACUGCUGCCUCUUCCUAGGACAAUAUGUCCAUGUGAUAAUGGAAGUUCUGCCCAGCAGUUCCCUAUGUCCCUAAAGCCUGUCUUCCUCUUGCCAGUUUGCCCAGGGUAAAUCAGUGGUUCUCAAAUAUCAUGGCAUGUGAGUCACCUGGAAGCCCUGCUAAAGAGAUAGCUAAUCCACAUCCUUACACUGCCUAAUUCAAUUAGUAUGGGACAGAGCCUGAGAAUUUACAUCUCUGACAAGUUCCCAGGAGGUGCUAAUCCUACUGAUCUUAAGGCCAUGCUUGGAGAACCUGUGAUCUAUCCUUCCCCAAGUUACCAGUCAACUAUAGUCUAUGUACUUGACAUAUCAUCAAACUGAGGUCUGAAGGGUAAGAAAAGCACAGUUAACUAACUGAGAACCCCAAAUAGGACCUUCACACCAGAGGAGAGCACACACCUCAUGCUGCAAUAAGGAAAGUGAGUAUGGCACCAAUACUAAGGAGAAAGCAUGAAGGCCAGAGCACAGACUGUGCAGUAAGGGCAGGCUGAAAGUCGCCUGCAACUAUCAGCUUUGGACAAUGAGUCUCUAGACUUCUAAGUGUAUGAAUGGUAUCUUAACUUUUCUUGGAUUAAUAUUCAAACUAGCAUGCAUUCUCUGAACAGUGACAUUACUGGAAGGAGGGCUGGCACUGAGGUAAAUAGUGAGGAAAAACUUUUUUUUUUUUGGUUUUUUUGAGACAGGGUUUCUCUGUAUAGUUUUGGUUCCUGUCCUGGAUCUCACUCUGUAGACCAGGCUGGCCUCAAACUCACAGAGAUCCGCCUGGCUCUGCCUCCCGAGUGCUGGGAUUAAAGGCCUGCACCACCACCGCCCGGUGUGAGGAGACACUUUUAAGUUGGCUAUGAAAUAAUUUUUAGUUUGGUGUAAUAAGAACUGCAAAAUAAAAUAAAUCAGGAGAGCUAUCAGUCACACAAAAGCAGGACUGGGGGACAUACUUGCUUACUGGGUCUG
This is a long non-coding RNA of Peromyscus californicus insignis, 4846 nucleotides long. RefSeq lists it as uncharacterized. The transcript is spliced from 3 exons. Lineage: Eukaryota; Metazoa; Chordata; Mammalia; Rodentia; Cricetidae. The record is from RefSeq and is a predicted model, not a curated record.